This 408-nucleotide ribosomal RNA is filed under the name uncultured bacterium. RNAcentral's name for it is "partial 16S ribosomal RNA". It matches the Rfam family "Bacterial small subunit ribosomal RNA", at positions 29 to 526 of the family's 1533-position model. The record is from RNAcentral.
AGUGAACGCUGGCGGCGUGCCUAAUACAUGCAAGUCGAACGAAGUGGCGCACGGAUGAGUAAUAUAUAGUUAAUCUGCCCUACACAGAGGAACACCAGUUGGAAACGACUGCUAAUACAUCAUAGUGUAGGAUGAGACUAUAUCGUAUCAGCUAGUUGGUAAGGUAAUGGCUUACAAAGGCUAUGACGCGUAACUGGUCUGAGAGGAUGAUCAGUCACAUUGGACCCGAGACACGGUCCAGACUCAUACUGGAGGCAGCAGUAAGGAAUAUUGCGCAAGGGGGGCACCCCUGACGCAGAAACGCCGGGGUCGGGAUGACGGCCUUCGGGGUGGAAGCCGCUUUCAGCCAUGACGCGGUAGUGGCAGAAGAAGCACCGGCUAACUCCGUGCCAGCAGCCGCGGUAAUAC